Molecule: long non-coding RNA, 539 nt
Organism: Leptidea sinapis
Lineage: Eukaryota; Metazoa; Arthropoda; Insecta; Lepidoptera; Pieridae
Exons: 3
Source: RefSeq, a predicted model, not a curated record
UCAGCCGAUCCGCUGCCUCCAGCCGCGAGACUUUCCACAACCGCUGUCACUUCAGCCGCGCCGCGAGAUAACACAGAUAACCUCCAACAAGGAAUUGCCGUCAACUUGAACUGCUCUACGCGGAGUUGUAUAGAGUAAAUUUAAUCAGAUAAAAUUAAUAAUAUAAAUAAACUGUAGGAAAAUUUUUGUGAUGUGCCAGUUGAAAAUUAAAACAUAAACGACUUUGAUGUGAAAAGUAUUUUUUUGUGUUAGUGUGUGUGAAUUGGCAAAGGACUUUCGGAAGCUUGCUUACGAGUUCACGGCUCGUUAAUUCGGCAGACGAGGAAACUGAAAAAAGAGGUCCUCACUUACGCCCGCCCACUGGAGUGAUAAAAUUUAUGACAAACGAUACACGAAUGUUUCUCUCCGUUCAGACUACAGCCUUGCAGCCAUGAUUUGGUGGCCGCGAGCGCGUGAGAAGUGUAGCAGGCGAUGAAGGUGCGAGGCGGUGCGGGGCCGGGGCGGUGCGCCUCGCCCGCGCUCCUCGAGUGCGGGGGCGG